CUCGUAGGCGGUUCGUCGCGUCCGGUGUGAAAGUCCAUCGCUUAACGGUGGAUCCGCGCCGGGUACGGGCGGGCUUGAGUGAGGUAGGGGAGACUGGAAUUCCCGGUGUAACGGUGGAAUGUGUAGAUAUCGGGAAGAACACCAAUGGCGAAGGCAGGUCUCUGGGCCGUCACUGACGCUGAGGAGCGAAAGCGUGGGGAGCGAACA
Molecule: ribosomal RNA, 207 nt
Filed under: uncultured bacterium
Lineage: Bacteria
Description: partial 16S ribosomal RNA
Rfam family: Bacterial small subunit ribosomal RNA
Source: RNAcentral